AGUGAACGCUGGCGGUAGGCCUAACACAUGCAAGUCGAACGGCAGCACAGUAAGAGCUUGCUCUUACGGGUUGCGAGUGGCGGACGGGUGAGGAAUACAUCGUAAUCUACUUUUUCGUGGGGGAUAACGUAGGGAGACUUACGCUAAUACCGCAUACGACCUACGGGUGAAAGCAGUGGAUCUUCGGACCUUGCGCGAUUGAAUGAGCCGAUGUCGGAUUAGCUGGUGGGCGGGUUAAAGGCCCACCAAGGCGACGAUCCGUAGCUGGUGUGAGAGGAUGAUCGGCCACACUGGAACUGGGACACGGUCCAGACUCCUAAGGGAGGCAGCAGUGGGGAAUAUUGGACAAUGGGCGCAAGCCUGAUCCAGCCAUACCGCGUGGGUGAAGGAGGCCUUCGGGUUGUAAAGCCCUUUUGUUGGGAAAGAAAAGCAGCAGGUUAAUACCCCGCUGUUCUGACGGUACCCAAAGAAUAAGCACCGGCUAACUUCGUG
RNAcentral lists this ribosomal RNA (492 nucleotides) under uncultured bacterium. RNAcentral's name for it is "partial 16S ribosomal RNA". It matches the Rfam family "Bacterial small subunit ribosomal RNA", at positions 29 to 507 of the family's 1533-position model. The record is from RNAcentral.